Molecule: ribosomal RNA, 819 nt
Filed under: Haloarcula marismortui
Lineage: Archaea; Methanobacteriati; Methanobacteriota; Halobacteria; Halobacteriales; Haloarculaceae
Description: partial 16S ribosomal RNA
Rfam family: Archaeal small subunit ribosomal RNA
Source: RNAcentral
CAGCUUGGGGCCGAGAGACUCAACGGGUACGUCCGGGGUAGGAGUGAAAUCCUGUAAUCCUGGACGGACCACCAAUGGGGAAACCACGUUGAGAGACCGGACCCGACAGUGAGGGACGAAAGCCAGGGUCUCGAACCGGAUUAGAUACCCGGGUAGUCCUGGCUGUAAACAAUGCUCGCUAGGUAUGUCACGCGCCAUGAGCACGUGAUGUGCCGUAGUGAAGACGAUAAGCGAGCCGCCUGGGAAGUACGUCUGCAAGGAUGAAACUUAAAGGAAUUGGCGGGGGAGCACCACAACCGGAGGAGCCUGCGGUUUAAUUGGACUCAACGCCGGAAAUCUCACCGGUCCCGACAGUAGUAAUGACAGUCAGGUUGACGACUUUACUCGACGCUACUGAGAGGAGGUGCAUGGCCGCCGUCAGCUCGUACCGUGAGGCGUCCUGUUAAGUCAGGCAACGAGCGAGACCCACACUUCUAGUUGCCAGCAACACCCCUGCGGUGGUUGGGUACACUAGGAGGACUGCCAUUGCUAAAAUGGAGGAAGGAAUGGGCAACGGUAGGUCAGUAUGCCCCGAAUGGACCGGGCAACACGCGGGCUACAAUGGCUAUGACAGUGGGAUGCAACGCCGAGAGGCGACGCUAAUCUCCAAACGUAGUCGUAGUUCGGAUUGCGGGCUGAAACCCGCCCGCAUGAAGCUGGAUUCGGUAGUAAUCGCGUGUCAGAAGCGCGCGGUGAAUACGUCCCUGCUCCUUGCACACACCGCCCGUCAAAGCACCCGAGUGGGGUCCGGAUGAGGCCGUCAUGCGACGGUCGAAUCUG